This is a non-coding RNA of Xyrauchen texanus (razorback sucker), 643 nucleotides long. The record is from the annotation of a RefSeq genome assembly. NCBI's taxonomy places the organism in Eukaryota, Metazoa, Chordata, Actinopteri, Cypriniformes, Catostomidae.
AUGAUGUUUCUGUGCUGUCUGUUUGUGUUAACAGUAACGCAAGGUUUUGCACAGUCAAUAACACCAUUGCAGAUCAAAAUGUAUGCCACUGAGGGUGAAAAUAUCACUCUCUCAUGCAAAUAUGAUGGAAAUGCAGACAGUCUGCAAUGGUAUCGACAGUUUCCUGGGUCCAGGCCUGAAUUUCUACUCCUUGUCAUUGUGUCAUCUAAACGGAAUGUAAUAUAUGCGGACCCCCCUAUCCCAGGACUGGAUGGCGAACUGGGAGAUAAGCAGGUGGAUCUGGAGAUCUCCUCUGCUGCAGUAAAAGACUCUGCUCUGUACUACUGUGCCCUGCAGCCCACAGUAACAGGAAACACAACAACACUGUACAAAAACGUCUAUGAAAACUUCUUCCUCUUUGUACCAACUCUACCAGCUCCUUGUAGUUUCAUUUAUUCAACACUUUGAAUAAUUUUAUUUCGCUUUAAGUUAUCAAUAAGACAAGUUGUUGACAAGAAUAAUUGUUCUCUCAGCAUAUUUUACUGUGUUAUUCUCACAGACCCCCCACAAUUAUCACAGAAAAUUUGAAAAAUCAUUUUUUUGUGUGUGUGCAUUUUGCAGCAGUUUUCUGUUGAAAUCAACACUAGGUGCUACAAUUACUGUG